Non-coding RNA from Cinara cedri, 343 nucleotides. NCBI's taxonomy places the organism in Eukaryota, Metazoa, Arthropoda, Insecta, Hemiptera, Aphididae. The record is from the annotation of a GenBank genome assembly.
AAUGACAAACGCCCACGUUACUGAAACGCGAUGGUGGCGCGCGUGCGAGCUGUUGGUUAUGCGGUCCGUCACACGUCGGUGCGUUAUUCUUUUGUAUGCCGACGUCCCUCUAGGACUGUUCAUCGUCGUUCACCGUUCACUGUUCCAAACAAUUAUUUUUUUUCAAUUACGUUUUUCGCACAUUAUUAUUUUUCUCAGUUUAAAAUUAAAACGUUUUCUCAUGCGGCUGCGUUUCGAAUCUUCCGCUAGCGGGUCCGGACAUUUUUCGAGCCGCAGUUGCUCAAGCAUCCUUCUGCACGUAAGUAACAAAACUGUUCGUAAAUACUAAACGAAAAAUAACGAU